Molecule: ribosomal RNA, 257 nt
Filed under: uncultured bacterium
Lineage: Bacteria
Description: partial 16S ribosomal RNA
Rfam family: Bacterial small subunit ribosomal RNA
Source: RNAcentral
GUCCACGCCCUAACGAUGUCAACUGGUUGUUGGGUCUUCACUGACUCAGUAACGAAGCUAACGCGUGAAGUUGACCGCCUGGGAGUACGGCCGCAAGGUUGAACUCAAGGAAUUGACGGGACCCGCACAAGCGGUGUAUGAUGUGGUUUAAUUCGAUGCAACGCGAAACCUUACCCACCUUUGACAUGUACGGAAGUUACCAGAGAUGGUUUCGUGCUCGAAAGAGAACCGUAACACAGGUGCUGCAUGGCUGUCGU